GUCUAUUUGGAGAUAUAAAAAGUUUAACCUGCCCACUGAUAAAAAUAAAUUAAAUGGCCGCGGUAUUUUGACCGUGCAAAGGUAGCAUAAUCGUUAGUUUUUUAAUUGGAAUCUUGUAUGAAUGGUUGGACAAAAGAAAAUCUGUCUUUAUAUUAUUUAUUGAAUUUAACUUUUAAGUGAAAAGGCUUAAAUAAAUUAAAGGGACGAUAAGACCCUAUAAAGCUUAAUAUUAAAAUUUUAUUUAGUUGAAUUUUUUAUUAUAAAAACUUAGUAAUUAAAUUUAUUUUAUUGGGGCGAUAAGAGUAAAAUGGUCAUUAACUGCUUAACUUUUUAUACACUUAUAAGUGAUUAAUUUUUUAAAUGAUCCUAAGUAAAGAUUAAAAGUUUAAGUUACUUUAGGGAUAACAGCGUUAUUUUUCUUAAGAGUACUUAUCGAAAGAAAAGUUUGCGACCUCGAUGUUGAAUUAAAAUGUCUUUAUAAUAGCAGCAGUUAUAAAAGUAGGUCUGUUCGACCUUUAAAAUUUU
RNAcentral lists this ribosomal RNA (525 nucleotides) under Helicana wuana. Its description in RNAcentral is "partial 16S ribosomal RNA". It matches the Rfam family "Bacterial large subunit ribosomal RNA", at positions 1831 to 2597 of the family's 2925-position model. Lineage: Eukaryota; Metazoa; Arthropoda; Malacostraca; Decapoda; Varunidae. The record is from RNAcentral.